RNAcentral lists this transfer RNA (74 nucleotides) under Gemmatimonadetes bacterium T265. RNAcentral describes it as "tRNA-Met". It matches the Rfam family "tRNA". Rfam says of the family: Transfer RNA (tRNA) molecules are approximately 80 nucleotides in length. The record is from RNAcentral. Lineage: Bacteria; Pseudomonadati; Gemmatimonadota.
GGGUCCUUAGCUCAGCGGUCAGAGCAGGCGACUCAUAAUCGCUCGGUCGUGGGUUCAAAUCCCACAGGGCCCAC